Molecule: small nucleolar RNA, 132 nt
Filed under: Buceros rhinoceros silvestris
Lineage: Eukaryota; Metazoa; Chordata; Aves; Bucerotiformes; Bucerotidae
Description: Small nucleolar RNA SNORA3/SNORA45 family
Rfam family: Small nucleolar RNA SNORA3/SNORA45 family
About the family: The members of this family belong to the H/ACA class of snoRNAs which are thought to guide the sites of modification of uridines to pseudouridines.
Source: Rfam by way of RNAcentral
GCCGAGGCUAGAGUCACAUCUGGGCACUGUCUGUUGUCCUGGUGUGCUAGAGUACUCGGACAGUAACCACUAAUCUCUAUUCACUGGCUGUGACCAUGCUUGACUCAGUCAGUCACCAGGUUAGUGACAGGA